Molecule: long non-coding RNA, 453 nt
Organism: Clupea harengus (Atlantic herring)
Lineage: Eukaryota; Metazoa; Chordata; Actinopteri; Clupeiformes; Clupeidae
Source: Ensembl
GACACUUUUAGCUUGACGAGCGGGAAAUAAUUGUAGCUUUCAAUCAUUGUUGUGUGUUUUUUUAUUUUUUAAUGUCGUGGUAUUUCACAUGUCUAGGGACAGACGAGGACACGAGGGCCUUAAUCCCGUGGCGGUCGGUGCACAAAUCCCUCUUCACGGGGAAGAGGAACGCCUCCGUGACUGGAUUUGAGGUCUUCAUAAAGGAGAGCGGGCUUGGGAGGUUGGAUCCCAAGCUCGUGAAAAAGAGGUGGGAGAACCUCAUCCACAAAUAUAAGAUGGCCUGCAGCUGGAUGGAGUGAAAAAGCUUCCUGUUGAAAUAACAGGCAGCAUCCUCCGCUGGGGGCUUUACUCGGAUGUGGCAGCCAUCAAUAGCCCCCACCACUCUGCUGAAGGCUGCUGACCCAGCUAGACGGGCGAAGCGGGCACCUAGGCGUGGGAGUUCCUCUCCUGUAG